This is a long non-coding RNA of Cebus imitator (Panamanian white-faced capuchin), 1866 nucleotides long. RefSeq lists it as uncharacterized. The record is from RefSeq and is a predicted model, not a curated record. NCBI's taxonomy places the organism in Eukaryota, Metazoa, Chordata, Mammalia, Primates, Cebidae. The transcript is spliced from 2 exons.
GAGAGGAGAGGAGAGGAGAGGAGAGGAGAGGAGAGGAGAGGAGAGGAGAGGAGCUGAGCUGUAGUUAGGUCACAUAUGGACAGGAUCCAAGUGGAGAAAUCGGUGGACAGGGCACAAAUGGGGGAAUGACAGCCUAUUCAGUGAGGAUAGGAAAUGCACAUAAAGGACAGAUGGAGAUGAUUUAUCUGUGUGUGACUAGAAGGAUGGCGAUUACAAAGAAAAGAGUGAAAGGACAGGGAGGAAAGGGGAAAAGGGAAUAAGUAAGAAGAUGAAAUAAGCAAGGAAUGUCCAAGUACUGAUAUGAAUGCUCAGAAAAUCACCAGGCUAUUAGGCUGAGCCAGAAGAAGAGCCACAGCCGUACCCAAGAGGGGACCAUCGGAAAGACAGAAGCAGGCAAUUUAAGUAGCUAGCUACUGGGGUAAAAUGAAAAAAAUAGAAGAUGGAAAAGGUGAGAAGCAAAAGAGGGAAAACCCAAAGGAGACACUGGCCCAGAAACCUUUUUAACUUUCUGUAAGAAUCUUCAAGUCCCCAAACUAGGCCAAGAUUCUGACUGACAUUUCUGAGCUCACCAGCUGCCGUUUCCUUGAGAGAAUUCUGACAGGAAGGCAUAGAAAUGUGAGCCAACACUGCCAGCUCUGGAAAAUAAAUAAAUAAGUAAAUAACUGCCCACAUCCUAAACACCUCAGUGGGGGCCGAAGCCUGCUGGGAAGGAAGCCCAGAGAGGAGGAGGGACCCGCCUGCAACUUUUCCCCAGCAUCACCCUGUCCCAAACGGACUCUGCAAGGCUAUCUGAGGAAAAGCCUUGAGAUGCUAAAGUAGUGAUUCACUCAGCUAACGGGCUAGUUCCUUUCUCUGCUCUUCCCUAAACCUCUGUGUUCCCAGCUCUGACUCCAAAGGGCUUGAACCCACGCCAAGAAAGUGCUGAACCUACAGAGGGAAGCCCUGAGCAGGAGGGGAGGCUGCAGUCACCCAAGACUCAUGCCAUCACCCCACAAAGACUUUCAGAACAAGGGAGGAAGAUAAAGGGGCCUCCUUCCCUCACUUAAACCCCAGUUCCAGGAUGGCUCCUGCAUCCCACAGCUCUACCUCCUUGUUUUUAGGGUGAGCGCGUGUGAGAGAUUACGUCUGGUACCACACUAAGUUUACACCAUGAGUUCUUAAGCAAAACCACAAAAGGAAACCUGAGAGGAUUUGACCGAAGCGUGCAGAGAUGCACAAGACAGGGCUGUCAAAUGAAACUGAGCAGCAGCAGAACAAGGACACAGGAGAGGAGGAGAGGGAAGGAAGAAGGGAAGAUGCACCAUGUUUGCGUAGAGAUGGCAGAGGAGCGCAGAGCAGCUGGCGAUGAGAGGCCCCCUGCCCUCAGAGGUGACAGCACCCAGAACACUGGGCCAAGGCUCCCUCUGCACCAACUGGGCUCAGCAACAACCAUGACACAAGCCUCCCACCUCUUCCAGAAAGCAGAGAAUUGUCUAAUGGUCUUUAAGGGCAUAAAAUCUAUACUUUGAGAGGGGUGGUGGAAGGGACUUGGAAGGACAUGGUAAAUUACCAGAGAUGGGUCUGCUAUAAAACUAAGCACCGAGACUUCUCACUUUAGAUGAGUGGUCCUUCAAUUGGAGACAAUGUCAUUACCCAGGGGCAUUUGGCAAUGUCUAGAGACAGUCUCAAUUGUCACAACUCAGGGGUUCCUGGCAUCUAGGAGGUGGGAACUAGGGACGCUGCUGAACAUCCUGCAAUGCAGAGAACAAACCCCACCCACCAAAACAAAGCAAAGAAAUAUCCAGCCCAAAAUGUCAAUACGUUAAGGUCGAGAAACCUGGCCUUUUUGAUAGUGGUGCUUUGAAUAAAUGAAGUCUCUGACAUUGA